GAUGAACGCUGGCGGCUUGCCUAAUACAUGCAAGUCGAGCGAACGGACGAGAAGCUUGCUUCUCUGAUGUUAGCGGCGGACGGGUGAGUAACACGUGGAUAACCUAACUAUCAGACUGGGGUACCUACGCGAAACCGGAGCUAAUACCGGAUAAUAUUUUGAACCGCGUUGUUCACAAGUUAAAGACGGUCUUGUUGUAACUUAUAGAUGAAUCAGCGCUGCAUUAGCUAGUCGGUACGUGAACAGCUUACCAACGAAACGAUGGUUACCCCCUCUAAAAGGGAGAACGGCUAGACUGGAUCUGAGAAUGGGCCCAGACUCUGACGGGAAGCAGCGGUAGGGAAUCUUCCGCAAAGGGGGAGUGCCUGACGGAGCAACGCCGGGUAAGGGAUGAAGGUCUUCGGAUCCUAAAGCUCUGUUAUUAGGGAAGAACUUAUGUGUAAGUACCUGUGAUCAUCUUGACGGUACCUAAUCAGAAAGCCACGGCUAACUACGUG
Molecule: ribosomal RNA, 497 nt
Filed under: uncultured bacterium
Lineage: Bacteria
Description: partial 16S ribosomal RNA
Rfam family: Bacterial small subunit ribosomal RNA
Source: RNAcentral